CCUACGGGUGGCAGCAGUGGGGAAUAUUGCUCAAUGGGGGAAACCCUGAUGCAGCAACGCCGCGUGGAGGAUGAAGGUUUUCGGAUUGUAAACUCCUUUUGUUAGGGAAGAAAAUGACGGUAUCUAACGAAUAAGCACCGGCUAACUCCGUGCCAGCAGCCGCGGUAAUACGGAGGGUGCAAGCGUUACUCGGAAUUACUGGGCGUAAAGGGCGCGUAGGCGGGAUAGCAAGUCAGAUGUGAAAUGCUAUGGCUUAACCAGAGAACUGCAUUUGAAACUGUUAUUCUAGAGUGUGGGAGAGGUAGGUGGAAUUCUUGGUGUAGGGGUAAAAUGCGUAGAGAUCAAGAGGAAUACUCAUGGCGAAGGCGACCUGCUAGAACAUAACUGACGCUGAGGCGCGAAAGCGUGGGGAGCAAACAGGAUUAGAUACCCCAGUAGUC
RNAcentral lists this ribosomal RNA (440 nucleotides) under uncultured bacterium. RNAcentral's name for it is "partial 16S ribosomal RNA". It matches the Rfam family "Bacterial small subunit ribosomal RNA", at positions 338 to 795 of the family's 1533-position model. The record is from RNAcentral.